RNAcentral lists this long non-coding RNA (6600 nucleotides) under Homo sapiens (human). RNAcentral's name for it is "HSALNT0276427". The record is from RNAcentral. Lineage: Eukaryota; Metazoa; Chordata; Mammalia; Primates; Hominidae.
GUGAAGAUGGCAAUGACGGCUGCAGUCCAAGCCCUAGUGGGCAGAUGAGGAGCAGCCCCUCUCCUUAAAAAUAAAGCCGGAUUCCUAACAUUCUCUUCAACCCACGGCUGUGCAGGGCAGAGUCUCAACACAGGAAUUGGAACAUAACAAAUCUGCCGACUGCCAGCUUUGAUCUCACAAGGAUGGAGUUGGGGAGGUGAAGAGAAAGUAAAUGCUCUCUCGACUUUCCAAAGGAAAACAAUUUUCUUUCUUGCAGGGGUGCCAGUUACAGCUGAUGAUGGCUGACGUUGGGAGAUUUCAAAGGUGCCUGGGUCUGGAAAAUUCUCACCCAUCAAGAGGAGAAAAUCUAACUAAAAUAUUUUCACCCAUUUUAUGUCACUGAUGGCUGCAAAGUGAACCCAGGGCGCCUCUGUGGCUGGAGAGACAGGUGCUGCACCAGGGAGACAGGAGUCCAAGUGAAUUUUUGAAAAGAACGCUCUGAAAUUUGGCUGGUGAAAAAAGCAAAGACCAGGCAUUGCAACCUGGGCUCUGACCUCAACAACGUGUGUCACCUUGGGCAGGCCCCCUUUGCUGCCUCCUAAUUUCCCCAUCUAGGGUGGAAGUUUUAUUAAAGAGGAGGAGGGAGUUUUGAAAUCAAACUGACUUGGAAUCUUGGUUCUACCACUUGCUAACUGCAGGGCUUUCCUUAACCUUUCUACCUUACCUAUCUGGACUCAUGUAGCCUCAUCUGGUAAGUGACAGCGAUAUUCUAUAUCUUUAGGCAGUGCCAAAUUACCUUAAAGAAGGGCUAAGCACAUGUUUGGGGCACUAGAAAAGUAGAGUACCAGGGGAAGAAAAAGUGUGAGAUAAUCAGGAGGUCUAGAAUCAAAAGCUGCUUAAAUUUUGGCAUUAUGAGAGCGUCGUGUCAUUCUGAAAAAUAAUUUAAAAGUACUUAAUAUAUUUAAUUGAAAAUUAUAUAUGGAAUGUAUGGGUGUGCAUUAUAUAUAGAAUAUGCUUUGCUCCUUGGAAUGCUGUGAGAUUGAAUGCAAUUAUACAUAUAAAAUAAUUAACACAGUGCCUAGAAGUUGGAAGAACUCUGUAAAUAGUUGUAGCAGCUACUGUUGGUAAAUGAGUAAGCUACAUUCCAAAAUAUCUGCAGUCCUUUUUUAAGCCCCAGUGUUCUAGGAUUCUGCCUGGAGGGAGGAUGCUUAAUUUCAGAUAAUAGCUGCAUCAGGACCAACAUGGGCCAAUGGGGAUUUCCAAAGAAGGAUGGUCCAAAGCACGCUGGGAAAGUUGGCAGGAUUUGCCCUAAGCAUCACUGAAGUUGAUGAUAUGAUGAGACACAGCUCAUCUGGUCUCAAACUAUCUCCCCCAGCAGUCAUGGUACCCAACAUUUUGCAACUAGAAAGAAGCCCAUAUCUGCUAACUCACCAAGACUAGAAACCAUUCUUGAUGUCACUAUGAUGUACAUCAUUUUACCUAAGAUUUACUUAUCUACCUAUAUCCAUCCAUCCAUCCAUCCAUACAUCCAUCCAUCCAUCCAUCCAUCCAUCCAACAUCAGGAACCUUCUGAAGGCUAACUGCACCAUAUGGUGGAUAUGAUGGAUAGAUUUUAGUCCUCUUUCGUUGUUGGCACUCCAAAUUUGGGAUGGGAAUUGUCAUUGAGCAGCUAUUCUGUGCUAUCUAGACGCUUUAGACACAUUAUCCCACUUAAUCCUAAUGACGGCACUAAGAGCUAUAGAUAACAAUGUUUAUAAGGUAAUAAUAGCUACGAUUUAUUGAGUGUUACUAUGUACUGGCCACUGUGCUUAGCCUUUUAUAUGAGAUAUCACAUUUAAUGUCCCCAACAGUUUUGAGAAGAACUCUUAUUUCUUUGAUUUACCAUUAUUGCCCAGCUUCAGAAAGGUUAAGUGACUAGCCCAAGGUCACACGGCACAUUAGAGGUCAAAGCAAGCCUCUUUCCCUGGUCUUUGUAAUUCCAGGUUGGUCACUGUCUGCUUCACUGUGCCUCUAGCUAACUGAUUUUCUCUUGGAGGGAGGCAUGCGGGCUCCCAACCUCACUAGACAAUCAUGGGAGGAGGAAAGACAAGGGCUUUCUCACAGAGUUAACUCUCCACUCCUUGCCCCCUGGGGAAGGGCACCCCCUCCUGAGCAUCCUGACAGGUCAGCCUGCACUCAAAGUAGCCUUUCGGGGGGCCCUUGAUGGCUCCCAGAUGGGAACGCACACAGCUGUCAGGUGCUUCCGAGAGUCUCUGGAUCCUAAGAGCACUGGCGGUGUGCCUGUAGGAUUAAUUGCUUCUCUGGCUUCCAGCAGGGAAGCGGGGUGUGGUAACAUCUUGGCUUGGUUAAGGAUGAAGGGGCAGGCACACAGGUGGCAGAGAGCAUGCCUCUGUAGCACAGGAUCAGAGGAAACUAUGUGGCUGAGAACAGCUCCUGGUAGGUAGGGAAGCCCAUGAGGACCUCACUUCCCCUAGAAGGAAGAUGUCAGAAGCUGAUGUCCUUUCCCCCUGUGCAGUUCUAAAAUUAUGUAACUGGAAGAGGUGCCACAGGAAAACCUGUUUCUAUCAUCCUUAUUCGUUCUGUGUGGUCUUCCUCCUUGUCUUUCUUACAAUUCUUCUUCCACAGUUAAUUUUUUUCAGGCACCUUCUAUAUCUCAUGCUCUGGAAAUACCAAGAUGAACCAUGCAGACCCUGACCCCAUGGAGUUGAGAGUCUGGUGGUGGAAGACAGACAUCAUCAAACGCUGGCACAAAUAAAGGCACAUUUAUUUACUUGAGGGGUUACAUGUUAAGUCACGGAGGCACAGAUUCUAGAGGAGCCAGUAGCAGGGCCUGAGCUUGGUCCAGGGUUGGCCAGGAAGCUCUUUCCUGCAGAAGUAAUGCUUGCACUCAGGACCAAAAGAUGACCAGGUGAAGAGUCACCUCACUCCUUGAAACCUCAGUUUCCUUCUUUGUAAAGUGGGAUGAUAGUAACACCUACAUUCCAGGAUAUUUGUGAGGAUAAACUGAGAUGACACAGGUGAAAAUGAGUAGUACGGAGUCUGGUACAUAGUCAGUGCCCAUCGUAUCAUGGCUUUGGCCAUAGUCCCUCGAUGUGAAGUGAAGUUCCCAUAGAUUGGAAGGCCUAUCGUUGACUUAGAAACUGCUGCCCAAGGGACAAAGAAGAAUGCAAGCCCACUAUGUGAAAUGGAAGCACACAGAAAAGGAAGGGCCUCACUCUGCUCUCUCUCUUCUGUGUGUGUGUGUGUGUGUGUGUGUGUGUGUGUGUGUGUGUGUAUGAUGAGAAGUUUGCACAGAGAAGCUGGUGUUUAGGCCAGGUCCUGAAUGGUAGAUAGCAGUUUACAAGAGAAAAGGGGGAGGAAGGGUGUCAGAGAUAAAAGGAACAUCAAUGCAAAGUGAUACAAGGAUGAGAAUGAGUGUCAUCCGCCUUGUCAGAUGCCUGGGGAAAUUCCAAUGGGCACAUGGAACAGAUCCCCAAACAAAACAACCUUUAAUAACACAAUACUAUUACUCCUAAUGGCAAUAACGGCAAAAGCAAUAAUCACAAUGACCACAAUAGCAACAGCCGUUACCAUGCAUUGACAGGUUACUCUCUUUCAGGCACUGUACAUGGGUAACUUCACCUGAAAUGCUGAAAAUAAAUCUUGCUCAUUCUUUCCUGGGAUAUAGUGAAUGACUUCAUGCCCUACAUUGUAUGGGCUACCCACAUAGGUGAGGAAUUGAGGAUACAGCCAUGGAGGAUUUUUCUGUUAAACCUCAGAAGGGAUGCUCUCAAUUUCUGCAAGGCUCUCCUGGGCAACAUGAACGGUCCAGACAAGUUCAUUCAUUUUUUUGUUUUUCUGGAGGGUUAAAUGGGGGAUAGAGUAUUCAGGAGGUAGGUUUAGCUCAGUCCAAGGAUGGCUACAAAGAGCUGUGGUAGGUAGUGCUCUGACAAAGAGUUCCCUGUCGUGGGGAUAUUCAAGUGUAACUCAGUUAAUUUCUUGUUGGGGAUGUUCUGAGCAUGGUCAGAACAAAGAGAAAGGGAAAUUCAGGGGGAAUUGGUCUAGAAGAUCCCUUCAAUUCCAGGAUGCUGUGGUUUCAGGAAGGCAGGAAUGAUCUACCAUGAAAGGUUUUUACAACAGUAGGAAACAUCAUCAUCUUGGCUUUGCCUGUCUCCAGGAGGCUUGAAUGUGAUUUGCAUAACCACAGGGGGAUGGAUGUCUUGAUCUUUCACAGUUUUUUUCCAGCCCUUAGAAUCAUUCUGGUCUUUGCUUGCAACCUCCUUUAGAACCAUAUCCUGAGCCACCUCCAUCCUUCUCCCAAAUUAUUGUAACAACUUCUGAGUAGGUCCCCUAGCACUCUAUAAUCUACCCUCCACACAGAAGCAAAAGCUAUCAUAUAAAAUAAAAAUCGGAUAUAUUUUCCCCCUACAGUUGUAACUUAUGACCAUAGCCGUCCCCAACCCAACUGGUUCUCCCAUUCCACCUCCCCUCACCUAAUGUGCACAAACCACUCUCCCUUCUUUUCUGACUCACAAACAUUCAGGGCUUUUGCCUUUCCUCUGUCUGAGCCCUCUUCCCCUAGGACUUUGCAAGGCCAGUUUUUUUCUCAUCGUUAAAUUCCCAGCUCAACUGUCACCCCAGACAGGGCUCUCUGACCAGUCUCCAGUCACUCCAUCCGGACGACCCUUUUAAUUUUCCUUUCAGCAUUUAUCUAGCUGGGCCUGGUGAUGUGUGUCUGUAGUUUCAGCCACUCGGGAGGCUGAGGAAGGAGGAUUGCUGGAGCCCAGGAGUUCAAGGCUGCAGUGAGCUGUGAUCAUCACUUUGCUCCAGUCUGGAUGACAGAGCGAGACCCUGUCUCUAAAACAUAAAUAAAUAGGCCAGGUUUGGUGGCUCAUGCCUGUAAUCCCAGCACUUUUGGAGGCUGAAGCCAGUGGAUUGUUUGAGCCCAGGAAUUUGAGACCAGCCUGGACAACAGGUGAAACCCUGUUUCUAGGAAAAGCAAAAAUUAGCCAGGCAUAGUGGUACAUACCUGUGGUCCCAGAUACUCAGGAGGCUGAUGUGAAAGGACCACCUGAGCCUGGGAAGUUGAGGCUGCAGUGAGCUGAGACUGCUCCACUGAACUCUAGCCUGGGCGGCAGAGUGAGACCCUGUCUCUAAAUACAUAAAUAAAAUAAGUAAAGCACUUUUCAGUAUCUUUCUGGAAUUCUUAUCUAUUUGUUAACAUAUGUAUGGUCUUUUUCUGCUGCUGAGAGGUGAAGCCAGCUGGACUUCCUGGCUCGAGUAGGGACUUGGAGAACUUUUCUGUCUAGUUAGAGGUUUGUAAAUGCACCAAUCAGCGCUUUGUGUCUAGCCAAAGGAUUGUAAAUGCACCAAUCAGCAACUCUGUAAAAUGGACCAAUCAGCACUCUGUAAAAUGGACCAAUCAGCACUCUGUAAAAUUGACCAAUCAGCAGGAUGUGGGAGGGGACAAAUAAGGAAAUAAAAGCUGACCACCCCAGCCAGCGGGGGCGACGUGGUGGGGUCCAUUUGUAGGUUGUGGAGGAUUUGAUCUUUUGCUCUUGGAAAUAAAUCUUGCUGCUGCGCGCGCUCUCUCUCUGGGUGCAUGCUGCUUUUAAGAGCUGUGAUACUCACCAGGAAGGUCCGUGGUUUCAUUCUGGAAGUCAGCGAGACCAAGAACCCACCAGAAGGAACCAACUACAGACACACUGCUAUAUGUAAGCUUCUUGGGAGCAGGGUCUUGGUUUUUUUUCUUUCUUUCCUUCUUUUCUUCUUAACUUUCCCCCUUCCCCUUCCCUUUCGCCUUUCCUUCCUUUCCUUCCUUUUUUUUUUGAGACGUAGUCUUGCUCUGUUGCCCAGGCUGGAGCCCAGUGGCACAAUCUCCCCUCAUUGCAACCUUUGCCUCCAGAGUUCAAGUAGUUCUCCUGCCUCUGCCUCCCGAGUAGGUGGGAUUACAGGUGCCUGCCACCACACCUGGGUCCAGCUAUGUACAAACUGAAUCAAGAUUCUAUGUACAUCAGAAUCAAGAGAGAGUGAGUUCUUGACAUCACGGAGCGGUCUACAUUCUAGUUCAUGCGGUGGACCUGCUGGGUGGCCUCAGGACCUGAAAUAAAACCAUACGUUGGCUCUCCUGAGUCUCCACCUUCUUGACUGCAGAUUUGGGACUUCUCAGCCUCCAUAAAUAUGUGAGCCAACUCCUUAUAAUAAAUCUCUUUCUAUGUGUGUAUGCGUGUAUAAGUAUAAGGUUGGAAAUAUAUUGGUCUGCUUCUGUGGCAAACCCUGACUAAUUCAAAUAUCCAGGAGUGGAAUGACUGUAUCAUAUGGUAGGUGUGUGUUUAAAUUUCUGGAAGUGGUUCAACUCUUUUCCAAAGUUGUUGUUCCAUUUACGUUCCCACCAACAGUGUAUUAGAGUUCCCCUUGCUCCAUGUCUUUACCAACACUUAGUAUGAUCAGUUUUGUUUUUAAAGUUCAGUCAUUUUCGUAAGUGUGCAGUGGCAUAUUAUUGUGAUAUUAAUUGUAUUUCCCUAAUGACUAAGGAUGUUGACUAUCUUUUCAAGUGUCCAAAGAAGAUAUAGUAAAUAGCAAAUAAGCACAUGAAAAAAUAUAUGAAUGAACACGAGUGGUCAUUCAACUCCUAGAUAUUUG